CCCCCCUUAGUGGGAGAGUUGCCACCAAAUCCCAUAAGAACUCCUGAGUUAAGCAUGCUUGGGUGAGAGUAGUCCUCAGAUGGGUAACACAUGCUGCCUAGUAU
Molecule: non-coding RNA, 104 nt
Organism: Spirodela intermedia
Lineage: Eukaryota; Viridiplantae; Streptophyta; Magnoliopsida; Alismatales; Araceae
Source: the annotation of a GenBank genome assembly